RNAcentral lists this ribosomal RNA (425 nucleotides) under uncultured bacterium. RNAcentral's name for it is "partial 16S ribosomal RNA". It matches the Rfam family "Bacterial small subunit ribosomal RNA", at positions 354 to 796 of the family's 1533-position model. The record is from RNAcentral.
GUGGGGAAUCUUGCGCAAUGGGCGAAAGCCUGACGCAGCCAUGCCGCGUGGAUGAUGAAGGUCUUAGGAUUGUAAAAUCCUUUCACCGGUGAAGAUAAUGACUGUAGCCGGAGAAGAAGCCCCGGCUAACUUCGUGCCAGCAGCCGCGGUAAUACGAAGGGGGCUAGCGUUGCUCGGAUUUACUGGGCGUAAAGGGCGCGUAGGCGGACAUUUAAGUCAGGGGUGAAAUCCCGGGGCUCAACCUCGGAACUGCCUUUGAUACUGGAUGUCUUGAGUGUGAGGGAGGUGUGUGGAACUCCGAGUGUAGAGGUGAAAUUCGUAGAUAUUCGGAAGAACACCAGUGGCGAAGGCGACACACUGGCUCAUUACUGACGCUGAGGCGCGAAAGCGUGGGGAGCAAACAGGAUUAGAUACCCGGGUAGUCC